AUUAAAUUGGUUAUAUAUGUUUAACUUGUACAAUUUAAAGUAAGAACUUCCUUUUCAAUGAUAAAUCUCAAAUUGUAAUGUAUCUGUAAAGCCAAUAAUACUAUUAAUAAGAACUGUUUUUUCGUUUCCAGAUAUCCUCUGUCUUAUCAGUAUAAUGAUAUCAUUGACGUCUAAUUUCAAAGAUGGACUCAUUUAGCGACUGAAGUUGAUAUAUAAGGUAGCAGCACGAAUCUGUGCAGAAUACUCUUGACUCACAGAGACUAACAUCGCAGACAAUGAACUCCGGACUGGGAAAGGUGUCUGAAAGAAUCUAUUACCUAAUCAGAAAUUCAUUGAAAGUCCAGGAUUAUGUUAAAGCUUUGAUAAAAGACGUGGAUACAAGAACUGAUGAAACACUUAAAAGGUACUGGCCACAGUGAUCCUGGGUCUUCCCAGACUCCAAAGAGAAGAGCCGAAGACCUUCAUUGUAAAGGACUGUCAAGUGAGUUACACUGGAUAUUGUUAUAUUGUUAAAAAAUAGGAGCAAAUAUGAGGUGAUGUUAAUCCAUAAUUCGUUGUUCUACAUCAUAUAAGUUUGUAAAGAAAGUAUUUUGUGUUCAAGUACUUUUCAUCCAAAACGAAAAUAAGUAUUUAUGGUAUGAAUAUUUAUAUGUAGGUAAUAUUUAUGUAAGUAUGUUUUACAUAUGUUUAUUCCUUUAACUUUAGUGGCUAAGGGCACACCUUUUGCACGGCCUAGAACAAGUAUUUCAUUUCAGUUUAUAGGUUGCAAUUACAUCCUUCAUUCUCUGCGAUGGAGUUGCAGAAGAAGCCUUCACGGACAUUUGCGUUUUCCAUGUGUUUGCUGAGGGACAGAAAGUGUACACUAUGGACAAUGGUAUUGAUGCCCUCAAGGUUUACCUUGCAGUUUUUUACAUCUAUAAUUUGCAAUGUGCCCAAGGUCUCAGCAAAUCCCAUUUUUUCUUGGACAAAAUUUUGCUGAAAAUCAACAACAAAUUUAUGGGUAUAAAACCGUGAAAACCAAAAAUGUUGAAAAAUCAGUCAAUUCCAUGCUCUCGAAACUAAAUGCAGGAAAUUGAAUGUGCUGACUAGAACAGUUCGGAGUCAAUUGUAACAUUGGGAAAUUGUCCCAAGGACCAUAACUGUGAGACUAAAUAUUUUAUCUCAAGCGUUUUAUUUUAGAAAUACUCCCCUUUGUCAGUUUGAAUAUAGUAAAGUAUUGUAUAUACAUCUCGUAGUGUUUGAUUAGACUAACGCUAAGUCUCUGAUUCUAAAUAUAUGUAAUUUUGAUAGUAGCAACAAACCCAUUUAAACUGAAAAAGAACCCCGGCAGA
This is a long non-coding RNA of Haliotis rubra (blacklip abalone), 1331 nucleotides long. RefSeq lists it as uncharacterized. NCBI's taxonomy places the organism in Eukaryota, Metazoa, Mollusca, Gastropoda, Lepetellida, Haliotidae. The record is from RefSeq and is a predicted model, not a curated record. The transcript is spliced from 3 exons.